Molecule: long non-coding RNA, 894 nt
Organism: Juglans microcarpa x Juglans regia
Lineage: Eukaryota; Viridiplantae; Streptophyta; Magnoliopsida; Fagales; Juglandaceae
Exons: 3
Source: RefSeq, a predicted model, not a curated record
CAACUGCUUCUCCUCUUCUCCUUCAUUUUAUGUCAUUCUUUCCUCUGUUUUUCAUUGAGUUGUUGUCUGCAGUGUUCCUUCUUCCUCUCCACCUUGUUUUCAGAUUUUUCUUUUCCCUCUGCAAGUCAGCAAACGCCACCACUCAUUCCUCCAUCUUCGGCUGGUGAUGUUUCCAUUUCCAUAUCAUUAAUUUUCGGUUUCCCUUUUCGCUGUAAAACCGUGCAAAUCUUUUCCUCUUUAGCAUAUAUUUUUUUCAUAUGAUUUUCUCUCCAUUUGCAGGUCUGUCCGUGAGCCUCCAUUAUUGUGCUUUCUCUUAACUCUCCCUUACUAAUUUCAUGGCUCAUGCUUGUGAUUUAUCCCCAUUGCUUUCCCUUUUUGGUUUGGUCCUUCACUAUCCUGUUGUGUUUUAUUUUUGCCGUACCCUGUUUUUGCCAUAAAACUCGUAACCUUCACUCGUAUCUUGGUAUUUUGGUGCUUGCCGUGAGUGUGUGUUCUGCUAUUGCUUGUUGCCUCUCGGUUUCCCUUGAGUGACGAUUGACAAUUGUUCAGCACUGUUAUGGAGAAUUUCUGAAUAAGCUAAGAAACCCAGAUAUUUUUAUGGUUCAGCUAGAGAACAAUAAUAUGAAGUAUUGGAACAGUCUGAUGAUCAUAAAUGAAUGAGUGCUAAGGGUACGAGUAUUUUUGGAGGAUCAUAUUUAGUAGUUUUAUCUCUAACGGUUAUUUUGGUACGCCAAGUUAUGAUUAAUUUGGGUCUUUGUGGAGACGUUAUUUGUUAUAUUGAGGUUUUGUUUACUAUUUAUGUGGAAGGAUACGGAUUUUUGGAUCGAAGAAAUAAGUUAAGUAUUUUGUGGAGUUUUCGUUUAUUUAUUAUUGAUUAUUGGAGAUGUUGUUGAG